UACAGAGGUCUCAAGCGUUGUUCGGAUUCAUUGGGCGUAAAGGGUGCGUAGGCGGCGCGGUAAGUCGGGUGUGAAAUCUCGGAGCUUAACUCCGAAACUGCAUUCGAUACUGCCGUGCUUGAGGACUGGAGAGGAGACUGGAAUUUACGGUGUAGCGGUGAAAUGCGUAGAUAUCGUAAGGAAGACCAGAGGCGAAGGCGGGUCUCUGGACAGUUCCUGACGCUGAGGCACGAAGGUGAGGGGAGCAAACGGG
RNAcentral lists this ribosomal RNA (253 nucleotides) under uncultured bacterium. RNAcentral's name for it is "partial 16S ribosomal RNA". It matches the Rfam family "Bacterial small subunit ribosomal RNA", at positions 524 to 776 of the family's 1533-position model. The record is from RNAcentral.